This is a long non-coding RNA of Tachysurus vachellii, 343 nucleotides long. RefSeq lists it as uncharacterized. NCBI's taxonomy places the organism in Eukaryota, Metazoa, Chordata, Actinopteri, Siluriformes, Bagridae. The record is from RefSeq and is a predicted model, not a curated record. The transcript has 2 exons.
AGAACAUUCAUCUGCAGGUUUUUUUCUACUCAGAAAUUGGUGAAUGUUUUGCACGAAUAUCAUAGUUGAAGACUUCAAGCAAAGAAGGAAAUAUAGAGAUAUCAGCAAAUCCUGGGAAGAACCACCUGUGCAGCCAAUGAUGAAUAUAUACCCAAGAACUCUGAUGGGGGACCGGAUGACAGAUUGAGCAAUUUAGGUGUUCUAAGUAUUGAGUCAAGGGGGGCAAAGACAAAUCUAGAUGAAUCUUUUUGCAAAAAAAACCCCACAAAAAUCGUAGAAUACAGUUACUGUGACCAAUACUGAAUAUGUAAUGCAAAUGUAAAAAAUAAAAUUGAAAUGCAAA